RNAcentral lists this transfer RNA (86 nucleotides) under Candidatus Omnitrophota bacterium. RNAcentral describes it as "tRNA-Ser". It matches the Rfam family "tRNA". Rfam says of the family: Transfer RNA (tRNA) molecules are approximately 80 nucleotides in length. Their secondary structure includes four short double-helical elements and three loops (D, anti-codon, and T loops). The record is from RNAcentral. Lineage: Bacteria; Pseudomonadati; Candidatus Omnitrophota.
GGAGAGAUGCCAGAGUGGUUUAUUGGGGCGGUCUCGAAAACCGCUGAUCCUUUACGGAUCCGGGGGUUCAAAUCCUCCUCUCUCCG